GAGAUCACAUCUCUCCUGUACUAGCUUCUCUGCAUUGGCUCCCUGUAAAAUGUAGAAUAGAAUUUAAAAUCCUCCUCCUCACCUAUAAAGCUCUUCAUGGUCAGGCCCCUUCAUAUCUUAAAGAGCUCAUAGUACCCUAUUACCCCACUAGAACACUACGUUCUCUGAAUGCUGGGCUACUUGUGGUUCCUAUAGUCUCUAAAAGUAGAACAGGAGCCAGAGCCUUCAGUUACCAAGCUCCUCUCCUGUGGAACCAGCUUCCAGUUGUGGUUCGGGAGGCAGACACCCUCACCACAUUCAAGAGUAGGCUUAAGACAUUCCUCUUUGAUAAAGCUUAUAGUUAGGGCUGGAUCAGGUGAGUCCUGAACCAUCCCUUAGUUAUGCUGCUAUAGGCCUAGACUAUCGGGGGAUUUCCCAUGGUGCACUGAGCUCCUCCCUUCCUCUCUCUUUCUGCACUCAUUCAUGUUCCAUUAAUGCAUGUUACUAACUUCACUUCUUCCCCGGAGUUCUUGUGCUUUCUCGUCUCGCAGGUUCUUGUCGAUCCUGGUGGAGCCUCCUGCCAUGGUCCUGCUAGAUUGCCAUUGCUAAUACUGUUGUUGCUGUGCACCUGUCUGUCUGUCUGUCUGUCUCUCGCUCUCUCUCUCUCUCUCUCACCCCAACUGGUCGAGACAGACAACCACCCACCUAGAGCCGGAGGAUCUGUCCUAGGUUUCUGCCUUUUAACAGGCAGUGUUUCCUUGCCCUUGUCUCCAAGGUCUUGCUCAUGGUGGUACUGUUGGGUCUCUGUAAAUAAUGUUAUAAAGAGUUCGGUCUAGACCUGCUCUAUUUGAAAAGUGUCCUGAGAUAACUUCUGUUAUGAAUUGGCGCUAUACAAAUAAAAUUGAAUUGAAUUGAA
Dicentrarchus labrax (European seabass) is the source of this 895-nucleotide long non-coding RNA. RefSeq lists it as uncharacterized. The record is from RefSeq and is a predicted model, not a curated record. The transcript is spliced from 2 exons. NCBI's taxonomy places the organism in Eukaryota, Metazoa, Chordata, Actinopteri, Moronidae.